GGGCGCACGUGGACCUGGGUGCUGGCACCGGGCUGAAGGACUGCAGACACCGCCCAAUGGACACAGGACGCCUUGCACAGUGAAUAAUGGAGGGGAAGUGAGGGCAGGGAAGAACAGGGCACUGAGCCCUAAGACGAAAAUAGAGGCCUGAUUUGGGGGAAUAAAGUGCCACUUUGCAUCAAGAA
This is a long non-coding RNA of Chinchilla lanigera (long-tailed chinchilla), 185 nucleotides long. RefSeq lists it as uncharacterized. The transcript has 2 exons. The record is from RefSeq and is a predicted model, not a curated record. NCBI's taxonomy places the organism in Eukaryota, Metazoa, Chordata, Mammalia, Rodentia, Chinchillidae.